UUGCUGAGUGGCAACAACGGUCAAAGCCAAAUGAAAAUCUCCUAGCUAUUGAAGUAAGGCAGGUAUCCUGAUAUGUAACAAAUUUUCACGCACUUGAAUCAUCUUCUGUAUUACUCAUUUACAUGUCCCCGAGGUUGCACCAUAGCUAUAGAGCAGUCUUUCUUUCUCUCUUUCAUUUCAUUUUAUUUUUCGUUCAUUUUUUUC
This 204-nucleotide unclassified non-coding RNA is filed under the name Hevea brasiliensis (rubber tree). Lineage: Eukaryota; Viridiplantae; Streptophyta; Magnoliopsida; Malpighiales; Euphorbiaceae. The record is from RNAcentral.